Molecule: non-coding RNA, 66 nt
Organism: Myotis lucifugus (little brown bat)
Lineage: Eukaryota; Metazoa; Chordata; Mammalia; Chiroptera; Vespertilionidae
Source: Rfam
GCAGGUGUGGCUCAGUGGUUGAGCGUCAACCUAUGAACCUGGAGGUCAUGGAUUCCAUUACCAGUA